RNAcentral lists this ribosomal RNA (308 nucleotides) under Calcidiscus leptoporus. RNAcentral's name for it is "partial Bacterial large subunit ribosomal RNA". It matches the Rfam family "Bacterial large subunit ribosomal RNA", at positions 188 to 558 of the family's 2925-position model. Lineage: Eukaryota; Haptophyta; Coccolithales; Calcidiscaceae. The record is from RNAcentral.
GGGAACUGAAACAUCUAAGUACCCAGAGGAAAGGAAAGCAAUAUGCGACUCCGUAAGUAGCGGCGAGCGAAAGCGGAUAGGUGUGAGCCUGUGAACACGCUGGAAUGCGUGACCGAAGACGGUGAAAGUCCGGUAGCAGGAGGUAGCACCAUAGCUCUAGAGUAGGCUCGGGCUCGUGGAACCCGGGUUGAAUAUGGGAGGUCCACCUUCCAAGGCUAAGUACUCCUUGACGACCGAUAGCGAAGAAGUAAAGUGAUUGAAAGUUUAAAAGCACUCCUAUUAGGAGGGUGAAAUAGUACCUGAAACCG